This 437-nucleotide ribosomal RNA is filed under the name uncultured bacterium. RNAcentral's name for it is "partial 16S ribosomal RNA". It matches the Rfam family "Bacterial small subunit ribosomal RNA", at positions 341 to 792 of the family's 1533-position model. The record is from RNAcentral.
ACGGGAGGCAGCAGUGGGGAAUAUUGGGCAAUGGGCGGAAGCCUGACCCAGCAACGCCGCGUGAGGGAAGAAGGUUUUCGGAUUGUAAACCUCUGUCCUUGAUGACGAACACAAUGACGGUAAUCAAGGAGGAAGCCCCGGCUAACUACGUGCCAGCAGCCGCGGUAAUACGUAGGGGGCGAGCGUUGUCCGGAAUGACUGGGCGUAAAGGGCGUGUAGGCGGCACUGUAAGUCCGGAGUGAAAGUCCUGCUUUCAAGGUGGGAAUUGCUUUGGAUACUGUUGGACUUGAGUGCGGAAGAGGUAAGUGGAAUUCCCAGUGUAGCGGUGAAAUGCGUAGAGAUUGGGAGGAACACCAGUGGCGAAGGCGACUUACUGGGCCGUAACUGACGCUGAGGCGCGAAAGCGUGGGGAGCGAACAGGAUUAGAUACCCUGGUA